This is a long non-coding RNA of Pseudophryne corroboree (corroboree frog), 606 nucleotides long. RefSeq lists it as uncharacterized. The record is from RefSeq and is a predicted model, not a curated record. NCBI's taxonomy places the organism in Eukaryota, Metazoa, Chordata, Amphibia, Anura, Myobatrachidae. The transcript has 2 exons.
CCCUAACAGCAACUGCUUAUCUGUUGUGUAAAGGAUACAGGCAGCUCUCCCAGUGGCCUUAAGUGUUAUGCGAAAAUCUUUACCUUUUCACCUCAAAGGAGGAGCCCUAAGGAGAGCAAGAAGCUAAGGAAGGAGACCAAGGGAUCUUUGGAAUAGAGCCAGCCUAUUCAUGCAAACCUUACAUAUUUAACAUACAGCGGGCAGAGCUUGGACUGUCGUCCCAGCAUUUACAGCAAUGAGCAGGGCAGCAUUAGAGGCGGGACGGGGCAGAGAGGGAGGCAGAUUAAUCUCAACACCUGCCUUUUGACAACAUCAAUCCGGGGAAGGCCCACCCGGAGGUGCGGCUGACAAAGAUUGGCAGUGGUAGACGGAGCAUGUCCUGUUAGUCCUCCAGAGCAUUCUGUGACAGGUCCAGUCUGGUCAGAGAGCGGAGUGUAGUAAUAACAGAGCGGAGAUCAUCACAGCAGGAGGAGGUCAGACCACAGUCAUAUAACCUGAUGAGAGAUGAGAGAUCUGUAUUAGUUUGUGUCUUAGCAUUUUCUGCUUCAGACUCAUUGUGAAUUUAUAAAUGAAGUACCUGUAAUAAAAAUCUGUUAAGUAGUGACA